Molecule: ribosomal RNA, 505 nt
Filed under: uncultured bacterium
Lineage: Bacteria
Description: partial 16S ribosomal RNA
Rfam family: Bacterial small subunit ribosomal RNA
Source: RNAcentral
GACGAACGCUGGCGGCGUGCCUAAUACAUGCAAGUCGAACGCACAGUUUAUACCGUAGCUUGCUACACCAUAGACUGUAAGUUGCGAACGGGUGAGUAACGCGUAGGUAACCUGCCUGGUAGCGGGGGAUAACUAUUGGAAACGAUAGCUAAUACCGCAUAAUAUUGAUUAUUGCAUGAUAAUUGAUUGAAAGAUGCUAUUGCAUCACUACCAGAUGGACCUGCGUUGUAUUAGCUAGUAGGUGAGGUAACGGCACACCUAGGCGACGAUACAUAGCCGACCUGAGAGGGUGAUCGGCCACACUGGGACUGAGGCACGGCCCAGACUCCUACGGGAGGCAGCAGUAGGGAAUCUUCGGCAAUGGACGAAAGUCUGACCGAGCAACGCCGCGGGAGUGAAGAAGGUUUUCGGAUCGUAAAGCUCUGUUGUAAGAGAAGAACGGGUGUGAGAGUGGAAAGUUCACACUGUGACGGUAUCUUACCAGAAAGGGACGGCUAACUACGUG